RNAcentral lists this ribosomal RNA (253 nucleotides) under uncultured bacterium. RNAcentral's name for it is "partial 16S ribosomal RNA". It matches the Rfam family "Bacterial small subunit ribosomal RNA", at positions 524 to 776 of the family's 1533-position model. The record is from RNAcentral.
GACAGAGGGUGCAAACGUUGCUCGGAAUCACUGGGCGUAAAGGGCGUGUAGGCGGAUCUGUAAGUCAGGCGUGAAAGCCCCGGGCUCAACCCGGGAAUUGCGCUUGAUACUGUUGCGCUUGAAUCCAGGAGAGGAUGGCGGAAUUCCCAGUGUAGAGGUGAAAUUCGUAGAUAUUGGGAAGAACACCAGUGGCGAAGGCGGCCAUCUGGCCUGGAAUUGACGCUGAGGCGCGAAAGCGUGGGGAGCAAACAGG